AUACUUACCUGGUAGGGAAGAUACCAUGAUCAAGAAGGUGGUUUUCCCAGGGUGAGGCUCUGAGUGUGCUGACCCCUGUGAUUUCCCCAAAUGUGGGAAACUCGACUGCACAAUUUGUGGUAGUGGGGGACUGCGUUCACGCUUUCCCCUG
Molecule: small nuclear RNA, 151 nt
Filed under: Nannospalax galili (Upper Galilee mountains blind mole rat)
Lineage: Eukaryota; Metazoa; Chordata; Mammalia; Rodentia; Spalacidae
Description: U1 spliceosomal RNA (ENSNGAG00000005914.1)
Rfam family: U1 spliceosomal RNA
About the family: U1 is a small nuclear RNA (snRNA) component of the spliceosome (involved in pre-mRNA splicing).
Source: Rfam by way of RNAcentral